UACGGAGGGUGCUAGCGUUAAUCGGAUUUAUUGGGCGUAAAGGGCGCGUAGGCGGAAAAAUUAGUCAGAUGUGAAAUCCUGGGGCUCAACUCCAGAACGGCAUUUGAAACUGUUUUUCUAGAGGGUAGACGGAGAAAAUGGAAUUCCACAAGUAGCGGUGAAAUGCGCAGAUAUCAGGAGGAACACCAAUGGCGAAGGCAGCUCGCUGGGACGUGACUGACGCUGAGACGCGAAAGCGUGGGGAGCAAACAGG
This 253-nucleotide ribosomal RNA is filed under the name uncultured bacterium. Its description in RNAcentral is "partial 16S ribosomal RNA". It matches the Rfam family "Bacterial small subunit ribosomal RNA", at positions 524 to 776 of the family's 1533-position model. The record is from RNAcentral.